AUGAAAGCAUUGGUGUUUAACCGUGUAAAAUCUGCUUCUCUUCUCUGCCCUACCAAUGCAUCCAGCAGACGGAGUUAUCUGUCCCUACAGACAGAUCAGUGGAAAUAUUUCCUCUCACGUUGGCACUCAAAUGUAAAAGGUGUCCUGCAGGACUUGGAAAAGACUGGUGACUUACAAGACAUGAUUCUCUUUCCCAUGGUAUAUGACAUUGAAGGACAGGAAAAUUCCCUCCCACCUACCUUCUUUUUUUUUCAAUCUCCAUUUCCCUUUGGGCUGCCUCAGGUACUGGGCUAGGCUUGGCAUGUAGACACAAUUAGAAAUAGAGGCGAGACUGCACGGAGCAAAGUGUCCAAGUGCUGAGUGAGUGCCCAAUGGGCCGUAGCAAAAUGCACAACCAAGUCAAAGAAAAAUGGAAAAUAUUCCAUAAAAUUCAUCUUUGCAUCCCUUUUUCCUCUCUUGAUAUAUGGCCCCUUAUUCACAGCUGCCCGGGCCCCGGCCUGCGUGUAAAUAUGUCAGUGCAGCAAUGAGACGGAACACGGUCACAGAACGCCGGCGGCUGCUCCCAGAUAAAACACUGAGCUGGAGCCCAGGAGUUUAUUGUAAAUAAAGAUCAAGGCAAAGCAGCAGCAUUUCUGCUCGGCUCAAGCCUGCCAAGGUUGCUAGUCCAGCUCCUUUCACAACUACCAUAUGUCCACAUGGAUUUCCCCUUCCAGAGAGUGACAUGUUCCUCUUCUCACAGCUCUGUACCCUUUGCAAGCUCCCCGAUACUUUCCAUGUGUUGCUUUACAGUGACCUGGAAGCACUGGUGGCAGAUGGGACAAGGGGUGGGCAUGGAAGUGAACUUCCAACUGUUCUGCUCCAAUACUGCUCUACCUGAACACUCCCUUUGUGGGCCUGGGACAUGUUAAUGCUUACUUCGGUUCUACUCAGUAGAGGGCACUGGAUCCUCCUGUAAAUGGGAAUUGAUGCCGGGAAGCACGAGGGUCUGAUCACUUUUGCAGAUGGACUGAUUUUUUCCUUCUGGAUACUGGUGGUGUGGAAGAGAAGUCUGCAGCUCUGUCUGCUGCACGCUGAUUGACUGAGAGAAAACCAUGGCAUGUGUUAGCAAGUGAUAAACUUGUCAUUUACAUAUAUUUUUUAUUUUAAUUAAAGAGGUAGCUACAGAAAUCAGUUAUCUGGAAAUCAGGCUGGGUAAAGUACCAGCUAUCUGGCAUCCUUCUGAAGAGCAACACCAGCCAGCUGACACAAUGCAGGGAGAUGCAAACACCUACAAACUAGAGCCUGAACAGCCAGGCUGGGGUGGAAACUGGUUGAAUUGUUCAGGCUUGUUCCUGCAGCCCACAGGGAAAAUACAGGAGUGGUCUGAGGAGAGCUGGCUGGAUCAGG
Molecule: long non-coding RNA, 1386 nt
Filed under: Corvus moneduloides (New Caledonian crow)
Lineage: Eukaryota; Metazoa; Chordata; Aves; Passeriformes; Corvidae
Description: lncRNA (ENSCMUG00000008140.2)
Source: RNAcentral